CAGAAAAUAGUAUAUAAUGAGUACAUAAAUUUUGGAUAUUUAAAGAGAAUUUCUUUUCUGA
RNAcentral lists this transfer RNA (61 nucleotides) under Ixodes angustus. RNAcentral's name for it is "tRNA-Pro". The record is from RNAcentral. Lineage: Eukaryota; Metazoa; Arthropoda; Arachnida; Ixodida; Ixodidae.